Molecule: ribosomal RNA, 521 nt
Filed under: Carabus hortensis hortensis
Lineage: Eukaryota; Metazoa; Arthropoda; Insecta; Coleoptera; Carabidae
Description: partial 16S ribosomal RNA
Rfam family: Bacterial large subunit ribosomal RNA
Source: RNAcentral
GUCCUUUUGGAUUUUUAUAUAAGGUCUAGCCUGCCCACUGAAUUUAUAUUUUAAAUGGCCGCAGUAUUUUGACUGUGCAAAGGUAGCAUAAUCAUUAGUUUUUUAAUUAAAAGCUUGUAUGAAAGGCUGGACGAGGUAAAAUCUGUCUCUAUUUAAAUUAUAAUAGAAUUUAACUUUUAAGUUAAAAGGCUUAAAUAUUAUUAAAAGACGAGAAGACCCUAUAGAUCUUUAUAAUUUAUUAAAUGAAGUUAAUUUAGAAUUAUUUAUGUUUCAUUUAAUAAGAUUAUUUUAUUGGGGUAAUAGAAAGAUUAAAUUAAUUCUUUUUUAUAGUAAACAUUUAUUUAUGAGUAUUAAUGAUCCAAUAUUAUUGAUUAUAAGAUUAAGUUACCUUAGGGAUAACAGCGUAAUUUUUUUAGAGAGUUCAUAUCGAUAAGAAAGUUUGCGACCUCGAUGUUGGAUUAAAGAUUAUUUUAGGUGUAGAAGCUUAAUAAUUUUGGUCUGUUCGACCAUUAAAUCUUUAC